Molecule: ribosomal RNA, 435 nt
Filed under: Pseudomonas sp.
Lineage: Bacteria; Pseudomonadati; Pseudomonadota; Gammaproteobacteria; Pseudomonadales; Pseudomonadaceae
Description: bacterial SSU rRNA
Rfam family: Bacterial small subunit ribosomal RNA
Source: RNAcentral
UUGCUUCUCUUGAGAGCGGCGGACGGGUGAGUAAUGCCUAGGAAUCUGCCUGGUAGUGGGGGAUAACGCUCGGAAACGGACGCUAAUACCGCAUACGUCCUACGGGAGAAAGCAGGGGACCUUCGGGCCUUGCGCUAUCAGAUGAGCCUAGGUCGGAUUAGCUAGUUGGUGAGGUAAUGGCUCACCAAGGCGACGAUCCGUAACUGGUCUGAGAGGAUGAUCAGUCACACUGGAACUGAGACACGGUCCAGACUCCUACGGGAGGCAGCAGUGGGGAAUAUUGGACAAUGGGCGAAAGCCUGAUCCAGCCAUGCCGCGUGUGUGAAGAAGGUCUUCGGAUUGUAAAGCACUUUAAGUUGGGAGGAAGGGCAGUAACCUAAUACGUUAUUGUUUUGACGUUACCGACAGAAUAAGCACCGGCUAACUCUGUGCCAG